AAGGAGGUGAUCCAGCCGUCCUUUGCCAGAACCUGGCGGAGAAUCUGGUCUCCGCCAGCAAUAAGCUCUUGCAGGAGAUUGCCGCCGAUCCGGAGCAUCCGCGCCGUCAGGCCUUUGCUGCCUGGGUAGAUGAUUUUAUCCAGCGGCUGAAACACGACCCCCAUUUCCAGGAGCGUGCCCGAGCGCUGGAAAGGGGAGAUUCUGGAUCAUCCCGCCCUGCACGAUUAUGUCAACGGCCUGUGGGCCGAUUUGCAGGGCUGGCUGGCAGCAGGAUCUGGAGCGUUCCGAUUCCCGGAUCCAUCAACGGCUGGUGGCCGGCGCCGGGGGCCUGGGCCGCUUUCCUCGCCCGAGCAUGAAGCCCCUGCGCGCCGUCGUCAACGAACAUCUUGGAACAGGGGGGUGCGACGCCUGGCCCGAGCCCGCUGCUCGACGGUGCGGCGCGGCACAUUGCCCGACACCAUCCACGCCUGGCGGGACGAGGAUCUGGUGCGGCAGAUGGAAUGGAGCCGUGGCUACCGACCUGGCAAUACAUCCGCAAUCAACCGGCAACCCUCGUUGGGUGGGCUUAGAUUGGACUGGGCCAUCCAACGCCCACAAGUGCUUGGCCGCGGCCCUUUUACCCUAGGCUUGGAUUGAUAGGAGGAUGCCUUUUUUGUUGACCGAAAAUGGCUUGCAUGGGUCAUCGGCCCGCUUGGCUUGCAA
Molecule: ribosomal RNA, 702 nt
Filed under: uncultured bacterium
Lineage: Bacteria
Description: partial 16S ribosomal RNA
Source: RNAcentral